AUUGAACGCUGGCGGCAUGCCUUACACAUGCAAGUCGAACGGCAGCACGGGUGCUUGCACCUGGUGGCGAGUGGCGAACGGGUGAGUAAUACAUCGGAACAUGUCCUGUAGUGGGGGAUAGCCCGGCGAAAGCCGGAUUAAUACCGCAUACGAUCCACGGAUGAAAGCGGGGGACCUUCGGGCCUCGCGCUAUAGGGUUGGCCGAUGGCUGAUUAGCUAGUUGGUGGGGUAAAGGCCUACCAAGGCGACGAUCAGUAGCUGGUCUGAGAGGACGACCAGCCACACUGGGACUGAGACACGGCCCAGACUCCUACGGGAGGCAGCAGUGGGGAAUUUUGGACAAUGGGCGAAAGCCUGAUCCAGCAAUGCCGCGUGUGUGAAGAAGGACUUCGGGUUGUAAAGCACUUUUGUCCGGAAAGAAAUCCUUGACUCUAAUACAGUCGGGGGAUGACGGUACCGGAAGAAUAAGCGCCGGCUAACUACGUG
RNAcentral lists this ribosomal RNA (486 nucleotides) under uncultured bacterium. RNAcentral's name for it is "partial 16S ribosomal RNA". It matches the Rfam family "Bacterial small subunit ribosomal RNA", at positions 30 to 507 of the family's 1533-position model. The record is from RNAcentral.